UCCAUAAUGUAGACAAAUAGCAACAAGAAAAGGCAAAUGUGUGAUGAAAGAUGAAAAACUUCCUAAACCAAAUGUGAAUUUGGUUGAAAGGGAUGAUAUGAUUGAUGCGUUCAUUUCUGAAAAACUUUGACACUAAAUGAGGUGCUUCUUGUACCCACUAUAAGAGCAAAUUUAACGUUUGUGGCAUUGUUGGGCAAGGUGUCUUUUGAAUAAUACGACAUAAUCAUGACUAAAAAUAUUUUUUUUGGGUUAGGGCUAUUGAGACGAGGGUCUCUUUGUACUUCAGGUUUCUAAAGAUCGAUAUCAAUAAUAUUGCAUCAUCUUAUGCUUAUAUGGUUUAUUCUUCUGAGAUAUGGCACGCUAAACUGGGAAAAUAGAUUAGGACAUGGGAAUGCAUCCUAUCUUUUAUGAAAAUGAAAACUCUAGGGUUUAUAUCUAACAUUGAUGCCACAUGUUCUAG
RNAcentral lists this long non-coding RNA (460 nucleotides) under Lupinus angustifolius (narrow-leaved blue lupine). RNAcentral's name for it is "long non-coding RNA (LANG_LNC001361)". Lineage: Eukaryota; Viridiplantae; Streptophyta; Magnoliopsida; Fabales; Fabaceae. The record is from RNAcentral.